This 458-nucleotide ribosomal RNA is filed under the name uncultured bacterium. Its description in RNAcentral is "partial 16S ribosomal RNA". It matches the Rfam family "Bacterial small subunit ribosomal RNA", at positions 338 to 795 of the family's 1533-position model. The record is from RNAcentral.
CCUACGGGAGGCAGCAGUGAGGAAUAUUCGUCAAUGGGCGAGAGCCUGAACCAGCCAAGUCGCGUGAGGGAGUACUGCCCUAUGUGUUGUAAAUCUCUUUUGUCGGGGAGCAAAAGCCGGACGUGUCCGGCUGUGAGAGUACCCGAAGAAAAAGCAUCGGCUACCUCCGUGCCAGCAGCCGCGGUAAUACGGAGGAUGCGAGCGUUAUCCGGAUUUAUUGGUUUUAAAGGGUGCGCAGGCGGAUUUUUAAGUCAGCGGUCAAGUCGUGGGGCUCAACCCCAUCCAGCCGUUGAAACUGGGGAGCUAGAGUGUGCGAGAGGUAUGCGGAAUGCGUGGUGUAGCGGUGAAAUGCAUAGAUAGAACGCAGAACCCCGAUUGCGAAGGCAGCGUACUAAACUGUGACUGACACUGAUGCUCGAAAGUGUGGGUAUCAAACAGGAUUAGAUACCCUAGUAGUC